GCCUCAUUAGCUCAGUGGUUAGAGCACUGGUCUUGUAAACCAGUGGUCCGGAGUUCAAUUUUCUAAUGGGGCU
Molecule: transfer RNA, 73 nt
Filed under: Paramuricea clavata
Lineage: Eukaryota; Metazoa; Cnidaria; Anthozoa; Malacalcyonacea; Plexauridae
Rfam family: tRNA
About the family: Transfer RNA (tRNA) molecules are approximately 80 nucleotides in length. Their secondary structure includes four short double-helical elements and three loops (D, anti-codon, and T loops).
Source: Rfam by way of RNAcentral